UCUCAAUGAUCUUAAACGAGGUACUAAGACUAUAUCCACCUUUGACUCUUCUGUAUCGACGUACUCUAAAGGAAACAAGUAUUCGAGGAAUGUCCAUUCCAGCUGGGGUAGACCUCCUGUUACCAUUCUUGUUUCUUCACUAUGAUCCUGAGUAUUGGGGAGAUAACGCAGAAGAAUUCAAACCAGAGAGAUUCUCUGAAGGAGUUUCGAAAGCAUCAAAGGAUGAAAUUGCAUUUUACCCUUUUGGUUGGGGCCCUAGAUUUUGUCUAGGCCAAAACUUUGCCUUGACUGAAGCAAAGAUGGGUCUUACUAUGAUUCUACAAAAUUUCUGGUUUGAGCUUUCACCCUCUUACACGCAUGCUCCUUUUAAUGUCAUAACUCUUCAACCACAACAUGGAGCUCCUAUUAUACUACACCAAUUAUAAGGUUUACAUAGUAGUUUAGUAUCUUAUGAAGGGAAGCAACUCAGUUGAAUGAGUCACAGCAGGUUGUCCCAAUGUUUUGUUGUCAACCAGGAACAAGUUGGUGCAGUGGAGAGUGUUGUUUCUAUGCAUAAUGUUGCCAUCUGCUAUUGUAUUAAAGUGAUUAUUCCCUUUUCUUUCUUGUGGUUCUGAUGAUUGUCAUAGUAUGUUCUUAUGAAAGCACCACCUAAUGGAGAAAGAUGCUUAUUUCCUUCAAUCUUUCAUUGUUCUCUGCUGCUUUCUCAUCUUCCAUUAAAGGGAGAAAGUACAAGUAACUCCUGGAACUUGUCCUCUCCGUUUUGUACCCUGUAAAAUAGAUAGAUACAUCCCAAAGAUUUGACCUUUUAUAACUAUGACUUGUUAUCUUAAGACUCGAAUUAAAAUGGAGAUUUUUAAGGACCUCCAUUGUUCACAAGGUGGAACUCUGUUUUGGGUAUCCUCUGUUUUUUUUAUGUAGCCAUGAUUGCUGUAAUUUAACCUCUUCAAUAGUUUAAUUGUCUCUGAUUUUUUAACUUUUUAGAAUUGAUACAAAUUAAAUCUCUAAACUUUAUAUUUUUUUAAUAGAAUCCUUGAUUGAAUCGAUAAACUAUUAAAAGUUAAAUUAAAUUUUUAAAUGUAAUUAAUUCUUACUAUUUAUAUCAAAUUAACUUUUAAACUUUUUUUUUCAAUUAAGUUUUUAAUUAAACCUAUUAAAAGUUUCAUAAAAUAUUUAAAUUUAAUUAAUUCUUCUAAUAUUGGUUAUGUUGGAUUUUAGCCUCCAUUUUCUCUUCAUUUUCUUUCUUGUAAGUCUUUCUUUAGCUCAUCGAAUCAAAAUAUCAGUCUAGUUAUUUUGAUUUGUUGCAGCUUGAGGAUUUAUCUCUUUGUGUUUCGAAAAUAUUUUUUUAUUUUAAAUUUUGUAAAUUUUUUGUUUUGAAUAAAAAAGAAAAUGUAUUCUUUAUAAAACAAUUUUUUGGAGAUCCAAAAUUGAGUUAUGACAUCAUUAUGCAAUUUUUACUCUAAAAUAAAGAAAAUUAAAAAUUAAAAAAAUUGAAAGUUCAAGGCUUUGAUCCUAAUUAUAAAAUCUAAACUAGUUCGAAAGGUUUGCCCGAGACUUCGUUAACCCGGACUAGAUUGGGUUAAAAAUACAAAAGUGAGUUAGUUUGACCUGGUGAAAAACAUAGGUUGACUUGAUGUAAAACCCAAUCUACCUGGUCCUCAACUUAUUGAUGUUUUUUUUUUUUUUAAAGAAUCAAAACAAUAAUAUUUUAGUUAUUUUUUAAAAAUUGAAUCAAUCUAAUUUGACCUUUCCAGUCUAUGACUAGAACUUUGCUCCCAUUUAAAUUUUAGAACUAUGACUUAAUACCUGAUUGGGUAUUUGAGAGUAUGGUAACCGUAUUUUUUUAAAGUGUUUUUUUAUCUAGAAAUACAUUAAAUUUUUAUUUUAAAAAAAUUAUUUUUAACAUUAAAACGAUAUGAAAAAAAAAGACCAAUAAUUUGAAGAAAUAAAAAAAUUUAAUUUUUUAAAACAUAAAUUUUGUUUCUAAUGGAUCUUCACUGUCGAUUUGAACAGUGAAGGUGCGCAAGGAACUGAAUUUUGGACGUAGUCGGAAGGUUGGGUGAGCAGAUCGGAGAAUGGAUGGAUUCAAAUUACAAAGCUGAUGUGAGCAGCUCGGCCAAUAGCACGUGGUGGGCUCAUUUUACUGAACAAGAAGAGAUCCCUGUCCCUGCCAUGCGAUUUUUCCUUCCCGCCUGUGGUCCUCUUGCAAGUGGAUUGUAUUCCACUAGGGGUGUGCCGCGUGUUUGUGUGUGAGAGGGGAAGAUUCCGGUGACUAUUCCAAGUGGAAAAUAUGUCUAUGAUAAAUCAAUAUAUACCACUUAUGUUUUUUUCAUAAAUGAAAAAAAAAAUAUUUAAAAGAUAUUUGAAAUCAUAUUUGUCGCAGGGCAUGCUAACACGGCGUCGUGUGUUGGAAAGUAUUUUGGAUUUAAUCAUAAAAUUAUGGUUAAUGUUUAGGAGUCGUCACCGAGUAUUACGGUCACUAGAAACCUAUAGUCUGCGAGAGUCUGGGUAAAGUACUGGUUGUGCAAGGGGAAGACGCAUCACCCUCAGUACAACCUAAGGUAAGCUGCAUUAUUGUUUGAUUGUUUUUUUUUCUAAGUCAGGUUGGUCAUUUCUAAGGUUCAUGGCAAAUCUCUUUUCAUGAGAGAGUCUCUACCUAUUCGGUUACAUCCUAACCGUUCUAAAGUCUAUAUUUUUACACUUUGUAUCUUUAAUACCUGAGGGUGUACUUUAUCGUGUAAUUUUACACCUCACAAAUAUUAAAGUCUACAUCUGGAUCCUAAAAAAAAAGAUUAAAAAAAAAAAAAUUUUGACAUGUUGGUCAAAUCCUAAUGGAUAAUCAUAAACUGGUUAUAAUUUCUUUUUCUUUUUUAUGAAAAAUAUGCUUGGAAAAAUUUUAGGAUUUGGCCGUAUGCAACAAAAUAUUUUUUUCUUUUGAAUUUUUUUUUUUUGGAGAAAACCAGGUAUUUUAAUACCGGAUUUGUAUCUUACAAUGUAAGUAUACAAUCCAAUAUUUAAAAAAAUUGAUAAAAAAAUAUUUGAGAAAAUUUCAAAUUUUUUGAAAGGAUUUUUGUAAUUUUUUAAUUUAAUUAAUUUUUAUUUUUUAAUUAUAUAUUAAGUAAUUAAAUAUAUCAAAGCAUAUGGGCUGGGCCCAACACAGGCCCAGAAACAAGUGUAUUGAUUAUAGGAACAAAAUGAUUGGGUCGGCCUCGACCCAACAUAUUUUCUUCCUGCAUUUUAGGGACGGGCUGGACUCGGCCCAGCCAACUAGGCUAGGCUAAAGCAGGUCCAACCCAUAGCAGCUUAGUCACUAGGCAGCCUAGUGACUAAGUUGUAGGAACAGUGCAACGUGAAUUAUAAUUCACGUUGCAUUGUUCACGUGCAGCGAUGGAGGUGAAGAGAAGAAGAAGAAGAAGAAGAGAGGAGGGAGACUCACCUGGCGCUGAAGGAGCUGACGGCCUGACUGGUGGUGGUGAGGCUGGCGGCCGGCUGUGGCCGCAGCUGGAAGAAGAAGAAGAAGACGCCUACAAUGGAGAAGGGAAGCUCACAGUUGCAACUGUUGGAGCGGUUGAGGAGAGAUCUAAUAUCCUGGCGAUCUUUGGGAAAGGCAGAAGCUCUGGUCGUGGUGGUUGCUACGGCUGCUGGGGCCACGAUGGCAGAGAAGAAGCGUUUUAUAGAGGAGAGAGAGAGAAGUGGUGCAACAACUUCACAUGAUGUUUUGACAGCUGCUUGAGGUGAAGAUGACGGUGAGAAGACGAGUGAUGAUGGUGGUGGUGGCUGAAGGCCACGGUGGAGAGAGAAAGAAGAGAAAGGGCUGGUUGCAGGAAAAACGGGGCAGGGAAGGAUGGUUUUCGGCCAACUUUGGGUUCAAUUUUCUUCUCCCUCAGGCCAUCAAAUCCGUCUCUAUUUAUAGGCGGUGGAAGAGGGCAAUCUUGUCUAAAUUGGGGAAAAUUUCAACCCUUGAUUCGGUUGGGAAGGAUCCCAACCGUUGGCUCAAAGUGAGCAUCAUGAGUUGUUCAAUUCGCAGAUAAAGGCUUCCCGAGUUGGCCUGUUUAGGCCGACGCCGGCACCGUCUCGUUGACAUUUAGACUGUAAUGCUCAGUUGGGGUUGUAAAGAAACUGUGGGGGAUCAUUUGCGUGCACGUUUUGUUAGAUUUGAUGGAGAAAAGAAGCAUUAAAUGCGCCUGAAAAGUAGCCGCUUGGGUAGCAUUCACAGGUGAAAUCGGGGAAGAUAAUGAACAGUACCAGACGACGUGUUGCCUGGUUUUUUUUUUUUUACACAAAACGGCGCCGUUUUGGAUUGAAUUUGGGAGUUUAGCUUAUUUUAAAUUUAGUCCUUCAGCUUUCAAUUGACUUCAAUUGAACCCUAAUAACCUUUUACAACACGGUACUUGGUCUCGGAUUUUGUUAAUUUAACCCCUAAUUUACCAUUAAACUUUCAAUUUCACCCCCGAUUUUUAUCAAUUUCACCCUUAAAGGUUAGUGCUUGUUACGGAUUGGUCCAUGAUCUCGGAUUUUUUCAAUUUAACCCCUAAUUGACCCCAAAACUUCAAUCUUCUUGCAAUUUGGCCCCCAAUUUCAAUCAAUUAACUUGGUAAAUAUUAAAUUUGGUCUUUUAAAAUUCCAAUCUUCUCAAUUAAGCUCCCAAACUUAAUGUUUCACCAAUUAAGCCUAAAAUAAAAUUAAUUUGACCCCUUUAAAGUAUAAUUAAGUCCUUGCACUUACUUAAAUCCUUCAAUUGGACCCAAAUUAAUUCUUAAACAUAAUUAAAAUUUAAUUUGGCCUAUGAUUAAAUCAAAUUGGCCUAUUAAAAAUUUAAUUAUCUCAUUGGACUUAAUGUUUCACCAAUUAAGCCCAAAAUAAAAUUAAUUUGACCCAUUUAAAGUAUAAUUAAGUCCUUACACUUAAUUAAAUCCUUCAAUUGGAUCCAAAUUAAUUCCUAAACAUAAUUAAAAUUCAAUUUGGCCCAUGAUUAAAUCAAAUUGGCUUAUUAAAAAUUUAAUUAUGUCCUUGGAUUUAAUUUUUAUGCAAAUCCAUCCAAUAAUCAUUUAAUUUGACCUUCAAUUUGCAUUUUUUUUUUGGGCAUAAUGGGGUACAAUUAGGCCUUGAAUCUCCUCCAAAAAAUUACAGCUUGAUUCCCCGGCCUACUUUCUCUAUAUUGCCAGUCUUUAUUUUAUUUUUUAUUUUUAUUUUGAAAAACAAGUUAUUUUUGGAGAAUAAACCAGAAUUGGUUUAUGACAAUAUUAAUUAAUUUAUUAACUAGAAGAAAUAUAAAUACCUCAUGCAUUUUUUAUAUAAACAGUGAAACACCUCUUCUUCUAUUUCUUUUUUUAAAAUUUUUAAAUCUUUUCUUUUGAUAGACUCUUCUACAAUUAAAUUUGUUAAAAUUAUAUUCUUUGUUCUUUCCCCCCUUCAAUUUAGCCCUUUUUUUCAUUUUUUUUAUUUUUUCUCAAUUUCAUCAUUAGAUUUUUAUUUUAUUUUUUACAAUUAUCUAGCAUGGUUUUGGACUAAUCAAGUUAAUUAGAUCAUAUCGAUACAACUUUUACAUGAUUUAAUUUUAAACACGAGCCUAACAAGGAGUCGAGUGGAGAGCUUUUUCUUUUAAUUUCAUUGGUUUUUUUUCUAAAAACUUUUCUCAAACUUUUUUUAUUUAUCAGGUGAGUUGUUUUUGGAUCGAAGAAGCAGAUUAGGUCAUGCUAAAAAACUAUCAUAUUAUUUAAUUUUAAAUCCGGGUUAGACAUAAAAUUGGAUCGAAAUGCUUAUUUCCUUCAAUCUGUUAUUGUUCUCUGCUGCUUUCUCAUCUUCCAUUCAAGGGAGAGUGAAAAUAACUUCUGGAACUUGUCCUUUCCUUUUUGUACCCAGUAAAAUAGAUAGAUACAUCCCAAAGAUUUGGCUUUUUAUUACUAUGACUUAUUAUCUAAAGACUAAAAAAAAAAGGAGUUUUUUAUGGACCUUCACUGUUUAUAAGGUGCGUGAAGAACUCUGUUCUUGGUGUCCUCUGUUUGUUUUUUUAGCCAUGAUUGCAAUAAUUUAACCUCUUCAAGUUUUAAUUCUCUCUUAUUUUUUAACCUUUUAGAAUUGAUAAAAAUUAUAACACAAAUAAUUAUAUUUAAAAACUUAAAAUUAAAAAAACCUUGGAUCCUAACACAAAACUUAUUAGGCUUGGUCCUAUGUUAGAAUCCAAGAGAUUGGAUCCUAACAAAAGACCAAUAGUAUUGGGUUAGGCAAUGUUGUAGACCCAAGAAAUUUGGGUUUGCGUCCUAGCUAUACCUAAACUCCCUUGGACAUCGCCUUCUUUUUCUGCCUCAAGUUUCUUGAAUCUGGAAGAGAAUAUCUGACCCAAAAGAAACGAAAAAAAAUGAAAUCAAAUUACUGAUGGGUCCUUCUAGGGGUAAGACACCAAGACCCAUCAACUGGUCCUGCUAGAGAUAGAACACACGUUGAUGGGUCAGGCUCACAAGAAGAGUCAAGAGUCAUGGGUUUAGUGGUGGCUGGACCAAAAGCUAUUUUAGAUCAUAAUUAUAGCUUCAACAAAAAUCAAUAAGAGAAAAGAAAAAAAAAAUCAAGAGAGUAAAAACUAAAAUUAAAAAUAUCUUAAAAUAUUUUUUUAAAAAUAUAUUGAGAUAUUUUUUUAAUUUUUUAAAAUCUAUUUUAUAUAUAAUCACAUCAAAAUAAUAAUAAAAAAAUAUCUUAAUAUGAAUUAAGGAAAAUAUUAAUUUGAAGUGAAGAAAAAAAUAAAUAAUAAUAAUAAUUGAUUUUACCCUUAAAAUCAAAUCUAUGCUUUUUCCAUAGCAAUAAUAUUUAUUUUAAUUUCAAUAAUAUUAAUGAAUUUAAUAAUAUUUAUAAUAUUAAUAAUAAUAUUUAACUUAUCUGUCUAAUUUUUGUAUUUUUCAAUCUUUUAAAAACAAUUUAUGCUUUCUUCGAUCAUAGUAAUAAUUUUUUUUUUUAAUUUGGUAAUGGCAAUAACAAUAAUAAAAAAAGUGAUAAUAAUUCUUAAUUUUACCCUUCCAAUCAAAUAUUUUAUUAUUUUUCAAUAUUAAAAUUUUUUAUAUAAAUUUAUUUAUUAUUAUAUGAAUAAUAUUAAUUGUAAUACAAAUUAUAUUAUUUAUAAUAAAAAUAAUAGUAGGUUUAAUAUUAAUGAUAGUAAUUAUAAAAAAAUCAUAAUAUUUAUAUCAUAAAUAUUAAUAUUUUUCAUAGUAAUAAUUUUAAUUAUAAUAAAAAUAAUAAUAUUUAGAAUUUAAAUAAUAAUAAUAAUAUUUAUCAUAUUAAUAAUAGUAUUGAACUUGUCUGACCAAAGUUUUAAUCGUAAUAAGUGUUUGAAAAAACUUUAUUAACAAUAAUAAUAAUAAUUGAUAUUAUUUUUCAUUUUUCUUCUUUUCCCGCGCUAUACCGCGGACUCACCUUUUAUUUUAAUAAAAUAAUAUUAUAAAAAUCUAAGACCCAAAAGUAUUGGGUUUGGUUACAACGUCGAACCCAAGAGCAUUGAGUCUAGCUGCAACACCAAACCCUAUAAUAAUAUUUAUAAUAUUAGUAAUAAUAUUUAACUUGUCUUUCAAAAAAAAAUUUUAAUCUUUAAAAAAAUAGUAAUAAUAGUUUUUUAAAAUUUAAUAAUAAUAAUAAUUAAUAUAUUAUUAUUAUUAUUAACUUUACACUUCACAUCAAAUCUAUGGUUGUUUUUCAAUAUUGAUAAUAUUUGUUUUCAAAUUUAUUAAUUAUUUUAUUAAUAAUAUUAAUUAUGAUAAAAAAUAAUAAUAUCUAUAACACAAAUAAUACUAUUUUUAAUAUUAAUACUUUAAAUUAUAAUAAAAAUACUAAUAUUUAUGACAAUUUAGAUUAAUACUUUAAUUAUAAUAAAAAUAAUUAUAAUUAUAAUACAAAUGAUUAUAUUUAAAAACUUAUGACCCAAGAACCUUGAGUCAUAACGCAGGACUCAUUAAUCCUAGGUCCCGACACCACACCUAAGAGCUUUUGGUGCUGACACAACCCAAAAAAUUAGGUCCUGAUGCAGGACUUAAGAGAUUCGGUUCUGAUGAAGGAUCAAUAAUCUUUGGUCAAACGGGUCUGCAAAGACCUAAAGAAUUUAAGUAUGCGCCUAGCAACACCCAAGAUCCUUGGGUGAGGCACCCUUUCCUACCCCAAGUUUCUUAGGUUUGGAAAAGAAUGUUGGACUCAAGAGGAAAGAAAAAGAAAUGAAAAAGCAAUUAUUGGUGGAUCCUGCUAAGGGCAUGACCCAACAAUGAUGGAUCAUAUUAAGGACAUGACCCACAACUAAUGGGUUCAAUGGCGGCUGGACCCAAAGCUAUUUUGAAGUGAAGACCAAGCUUAAUAUAUUUCUCUUGAGUGUGGUUGCACAAUUAGACCCAAUCUCAAUAUAUUUAAAAAUAAAAUUAAAAAAAAUACAAAACAUAAAAAAUAUUAAUUUGAAGUAAAGAAAACAAUAAAAGAAUUUCAAAAAACUUUCAAUGUAUUUUUGGAAUGCAAAACCAAACAUGCUUUAAUAAGGAAAUUCAACCCAACCUGAAAUGAAAAAAAUAAUUAUCGUCACCUAACUUUUGUAUAAUAUAAAACAAAAUCACAUUAAUUUAUUUUCUCUUUACACUAUGAAAAAAAAAUCAAUAAGAGAAAAGAAAAAAAAAUUCAAGAGAGAAAAAAAUAAAAUUAGAAAUAUCUUAAAAUAUUUUUUAAAAAUUAUAUUGAGAUAAUAUUUUUUAUUGUUUUAAAUCCAUUUUUUAUAUAAUCACAUAAAAAAUAAUACAAAAUAUCUUAAUAUGAAUUAAAGGAAAAAAAUAUUAAUUUAAAGUUAAAAAAAUAAUCUUGUUAUAAAAUUUAUUAACAAUAACAAUAACAAUAACAAUAAUUGUUAUUACUUAUAUUUGUUUUUGUUUUUUUUUCAAAUCUGUUAUUUUUCUAUAUAGGUCUGUAGACCCAGCAACAUAGGUCUGCUACCCCUGGGGGAGUCUGCAGACUCCAGACUUGGCAUAACAAAACCCAGGCGUGCCUAGCCGCGUGGGUAUGCAACCUCUAACGGGGUCUGUAGAUCCCAAACAUGGCAAAAAAUACCCAGGGGCGGGUCUGUAUCCUGCUCCCAGUUAUGCACACCCAAGUGAGGGGUUCUGCAAACCUAGGCGAGACCCUAGAGGCGAGGGUCUGCAAUCGCGAGUAGGCUUGCAGACCCACUUGCCUGUGUCUACAGACAUGCACUUUGGUUCUACCACUCACGCUGGUCUGCACCCACCACCUGGGUAUGCAGCCCUUGCGCGCGGUUUAACAGACUUGCCCGCCUAGGUUUGCAACCUCUUGUCCGUGCCAGUCCCAACACCAUGUUUCUGCAACUUGGGGCCUGCGGUCCCACUUGACGCGCAGCCACCUAGGGCUUGGCAUCCCCAGCAUCAUGUCUGCAGCCUAGGGUUUGGAGUCCCACUUGGCAAGCGGGUACCCAAGGCUUUGCCAGCCCAGCAUCAAGUGUCUGUAGCCACACCAAAAUUAGAGCUAACCUAGGGGAGUGGAUCUGCAGCCUCAUUGUGCUCCCACCCACCAAGCAUUAUAAUUUAUAGUGAAAUCACUUAUAAUUCACAAUAACUCUUCUUAACUAGUGCAAUCCACAAAUAAAACGUUUUUAAUUCAUAAUUUCUUUCGUUGUAAUAAAAUACUGUUAAUAUUUUUAGUUAUAGUUAAUUGAUAACUUCAGCAGCAAGAUCAUUAAGUAAUACUCUAAAAGGCGUGGGAAAACUAUUGUAGCUUUCCGACGCCUUUUACUAAUAUAUUUACUUAUUAAUAUAUUAUAUAACUGUUAUUUUAUUUUAUUUUGUUUUUUGUUUUUUUAAUGAAUUUUUUUUAUUUGAUUUAGUUUGUUAAUGUUAAUUUUUUUUUAUUUAGUUAUCAGAUUUUCAUGAUACGGAUCCCGGAUUUGAUAGGUUAACCUAAUUUGACGAGUUAACCCGGAUUUUUUUUAAUUAUUUUUUUCAUUUAAUUUAGUUUGUUAAAGUUAAUUUUCUUUUUAUUUAAUUAUCAGACUUUCAUAACACGUAUCCUAGGCUUAACGGGUUAACUUGGUUUGAUGGGUUAACUCAGUUAAUUCUGGGUAAACCCAUCAUUUGUUUUUCUAUUUAGUUAUCAAACUUUCAUGACGUGAAUCCCAGGUUUUACGGGAUAACCUAAUUUAAAGGGUUAACCCAAUUAAUUCAUUUUUUUUUCUUUUUCUUCAUGUUGAUUUUUUUUCUUUGUUUUUUUUAAUUAAUCUAUUUAAUUAUUACACUUUUAUAACAAGACCUUAUAGCCAUACCCACAUCCAAUAUUUUUGGGUCCGUUGUUGCAGUCAUGCUCACUCAAACUUGGAUUAUACAAGUUUAAUGUUAUUAUUAAUAUUAUCAAUAUUACUCUUACGUCAGGCUUUGCAGCUAAACCCAAGAUUUUUGGAUAUAAUUUUGCAGAAAAACCUAAAAAUUUUAAAUUUUUAUUUUUUUUAUAUUUUUUAUAUAAAAAAAUAAACCGCGACAUCGCAAGGAUGAUAUACCUAGUAAUCUAUUAUUAGCGUAUAUCACGUGAGAAUAAUCUUCGUGCCCUUGGGCUGCAAGGCAAAUUAGGAUUUAUAUUCUCGUUCUGUCGUUUUCACUUUUUAUUUUUUUUGUUCUUGAAAUCAAUACACGUUAUUUUGGUGUUUCUGAAACAAUGAGACAAGAGAUGGGUUAUAAGUUUGUCAAGGAAAAACAAAAGGUCGACGUCAUUGGAAUCAAUAAAAUAAAUAAAGACAGGAAAGCAAUAAGGUUCAAGUUCAAACAGGAGCUAACAAAAGCCCUAUAAAUUCUUCACCAAUCGGGUCUCAUUUCCAUCAAAUUUCAUCGAUCCCAAGUUUGCUGAAGCAGCAGUUUCCAACCAAAAAACAAAAAUGGAAGAUUUUAUUUUCAGAGGGUUUCUGUCCUCUUCUUUACUUCUAUUUCUCUAUGUUGUGUUUAGAGUUGCUCACACGUUUUGGCUGAAACCGAAAAGCCAAGAGAAGCGUUUGAGGAAGCAAGGGAUCAGAGGCACUUCUUACAAGCUUUUGAAUGGUGAUAAGAAAGAGUUUGCAAGGUCUUCUAAAGAAGCUAGGUCCAGGCCCAUUGCUCUAAAUCAAGCAAUUGCACCACGUGUCCUUCCAUUCUUUUAUAAAAUGGUGCAAAUUUACGGUGAGCAGCAGCUUCACAAGCUAUCUCAUUUUUUCAGAUUUUUUUUAUUAUUUCUAGGAAUUUCUGUUCAUACAUGUAUUUGGUAAUCGGUAUUAUCCUGAUUUGUAAUGCGAACGAGAACAGGAAAGGUCUCCCUGUGUUGGAUGGGGACAAGACCUAGCCUGCUAUUAGCUGAUCCAGAGCUGGUGAGGUUGGUGUUAACAGACACGAGUGGUCACAUUAUAAAGCCACCGCAAAAUGCCCUUGUGGGUCUGUUACAGCGGGGAGUCUCAACCUUGGAAGGAGACGAAUGGGCCAAGCGCAGAAGGUUGAUGACACCUGCCUUCCACGCUGAGAGAUUAAGGGUAACUUCACCUACCUGAAUCUUGCAAGUUUAAACAUUCUUAAGAAAUUUUUACAGCUUGCAUUUGAAAAUUUAGAAUCUAUUUGGACUUCUUUACAUUUUAUCAAUUGACCAAUGUGCUGCAUAAGCAAAAAUUGAUCCAGAAAACAUUCAUGAAUGUCAGCAAAUGGCAAGAAGGAGUGAUAGAGAGUUAUAUAAAUUAUAUUUUGAAACCUGUGAUUGAGCUAUUGAAUUGAGAUAGUUCUAUAAUAUAACAUGGUAUUCUAUUGGAUUCAGUUGGUUUUUUGACAAGUUGAGGUGAUGGUACAGCUAUACACACCAAAACGUGUACUGUAGUCAAACUUGAGAUGGAGGCUUGAAAGAAUUCUUGAAUUAUCAUAAAGAAACUUUGCGGGAACUAGUAUAUCCAUUUAACUUGUAUACGUGUUUUAUAAGGAUUUUCGGAUUCCAGAUCUUUAGCCUUCAAUCACUAGCUUUUUAACUUUUGAAUUGAAUCAACGUUUGAUAUGGUAUUAGAGUCUAUAUGCUGAUUAGUGCUGGUUUGUGAACAGGGGAUGAUCCCAGCAUUUUCAGCCUGCUGUUGUGAUCUGGUUCAGCGAUGGAAGAAAUUAGCAGGUCCUCAGGGAUCAUGUGAAUUGGAUGUUGCAAGCGAAUUUAAUAUUCUUGCAAGUGAUGUUAUAGCUCGAGCAGCCUUUGGAAGCAGCUAUGAAGAGGGAAAGAAAAUAUUUGAUCUUCAAAAGGAUCAAGUUAUUUUGGCCCUUGAAGCUUUUUAUUCCAUUUACUUCCCUGGUUUGAGGUACAUAUUAAUGCCAUUUAUCUCUUGCAAAUUCAAGCUUCUCUCGGUGCUUGUUAAAAUUUUUAACCAAUGUCUGAUAAUACAUUAAAUCCCAGUUAACAACAUUUCAUUUCUUUGCGCUUCUCCAACAGAUUCAUACCCUCUAAAAAGAACAAGAAGAGAUACAGUAUAGACAAAGAGAUAAAAGCAGCAUUGAGAAAUAUUAUCCAUAAGAAGGAGCAGGCCAUGCAAAAUGGAGACUCAGGCGAUGCUGACUUGCUAGGCUUGCUUUUACAGGGCAGGGAUGAUGCUGAUAAUGACAUGAAAAUUGAAGAUGUAAUCGAGGAAUGCAAGUUGUUCUUCUUUGCAGGCCAAGAGACCACAGCAAACUUACUCACUUGGACAUUGAUAGUUCUAUCUAUGCAUCCAGUCUGGCAAGAGAAAGCAAGAGAAGAAGUUUUGCAGAUUUGUGGCAACAGAGCACCUGAUAUCGAUAGUAUAAAACAACUCAGAAUUGUAAGUACUUCUUUUGUUCACGCAUUAAUUUAUCAUGUUUUGUAAGCUACAGUCAACUCCUUGGAAACGAUUAUAAAUCCCUGGUUUAUGAAACUAAAUAAAUUUGCAGGUCUCAAUGAUCUUAAACGAGGUACUAAGACUAUAUCCACCUGUGAAUCUUCUGUAUCGACAUACUCUAAAGGAAACAAGCAUUCGAGGAAUGUCCAUUCCAGCUGGGUAGACCUCCUGUUACCAUUCCUGUUUCUUCACUAUGAUCCUGAGUAUUGGGGAGACAACGCAGAAGAAUUCAAACCAGAGAGAUUCUCUGAAGGAGUUUCGAAAGCAUCAAAGGAUGAAAUUGCAUUUUACCCUUUUGGUUGGGGCCCUAGAUUUUGUCUAGGCCAAAACUUUGCCUUGACUGAAGCAAAGAUGGCUCUUACUAUGAUUCUACAAAAUUUCUGGUUUGAGCUUUCACCCUCUUACACGCAUGCUCCUUGUAAUGUCAUAACUCUUCAACCACAACAUGGAGCUCCUAUUAUACUACACCAAUUAUAAGGUUUACAUAGUACUUUGGUGUCUUAGGAAGGGAAGCAACUCAGUUGAAUGAGUCACAGCAGGUUGUCCCAAUGUUUUGUUGUCAACCAGGAACAAGUUGGUGCAGUGGAGAGUGUUGUUUCUAUGCAUAAUGUUGCCAUCUGCUAUUGUAUUAAAGUGAUUAUUCCCUUUGCUUUCUUUUGGUUCUGAUGAUUGUUCAUAGUAUGUGCUUAUGAAAGCACCACCUAAUGGAGAAAGAUGCUUAUUUCCUUUAAUCUUUUAUUGUUCUCUGCUGCACUUUCUCAUCUUCCAUUGAAGGGAGAGAUUACAAGUAACUCCUGGAACUUGUCCUUUCUUUUUUGUACCCUGUAAAAUAGAUAGAUGCAUCUCAAAGAUUUGGCUUUUUAUAACUGACUUAUUAUCUGAAGACUCAAGAAAAAAAAAAAAAAAUUGGAGUUUUUUAUGGACCUUCACUGUUUAUCAGGUGCGCGAAGAACUCUGUUGUGGGUGUUCUAUGUUUUUUUUUUUUUUUUAGCCAUGAUGAUUGCAAUAAUUUAACCUCUUCAAGUUUUAAUUCUCUAAUUCUUUAACUUUUUAGAAUUGAUAUAAAUUAUAACAUAAAUAAUUAUAUUUAAAAAUUAAAAAUUAAAAAAUCUCGAGGUUUUAAGACUCACUAGUUUUAUGUCCUAUCAGAAUCCAAAAGAUUGGAACAAAACAAAAAACCAAUAGUAUUAGAUUAGGCAAGGCUAUAAACCCAAAGAAUUUGGGUUUGCAUCCUAGCCACAACUAAACUUUCUUGGACGUGUCUUUCUUUUCUUGUCUCAAGUUUCUUGAAUAAUGUUUGACACAAAAAAAAAUCAAAUUAUUGAUGGGUUUUUCUAGGGGCAAGACCUAUUAACUGGUCCUAUUAGAGAUAGAACCCACGUUACUGGGUCAUACUCGUAGUAAGAGCCAAGACUGAUGGGCUUAGUGGUGACUGAAUCCAAAGCUAUUUUGGAUUAUAUUUAUAGUUUCAACAAAAAUCAAUAAGAUAAAAGAAAAAAAAAUCAAGAGAGUAAAAAAAAAAUUAGAAUAUCUUAAAAUAUUUUAAAAAAAAUAGAUUGAGAUAAUUUUUUGUAAUUUUUUAAAUUCUAUUUUAUAUAUAAUCACAUCAAAAUAAUAAAUAAAAUAUCUUAAAAUAUUUUUUAAAAAUAGAUUGAGAUAAUUUUUUUUUAAUUUUUUAAAAUCUAUUUUAUAUAUAAUCACAUCAAAAUAAUAAAUAAAAUAUCUUAAUAUGAAUUAAGAAAAAUAUUAAUUUGAAGUGAAGAAAUAAUAAUAAUAAUAAUAAUAAUUUAUUUUACCCUUAAAAUCAAAUCUAUAUUUUUUUCUACAUCAAUAAUAUUUAUUUGAAUUUCAAUAAUAUUAAUGAAUUUAAUAAUAUUUAUAAUAGUAAUAAUAAUAUUUAACUUCUCUACCCAAUUUUUUAUAUUUUUCAAUCUUUGAAAAACAAUUUAUGCUUUCUUCGAUGAUAGUAAUAAUUUUUUUAAAAAAUCUGGUAAUGACAAUAACAAUAAUAAAAAAAAGUGAUAAUAAUUUUUAAUUUUACCCUUCAAAUCAAAUCUAUUAUUAUUUUUCAAUAUUAAAAAUAUUUUAUACAAAUUUAUUAAUUAUUAUAUGAAUACUAUUAAUUGUAAUACAAAUUAUAAUAUUUAUAAUAAAAAUAAUAGUAGGUUUAAUAUUAAUGAUAUUAAUUAUAAAAAAAUCAUAAUAUUUAUAUCACAAAUAAUAAUAUUUUUCAUACUAAUAAUAGUAAUAAUAUUUAUCAUAUUAAUAAUAGUAUUGAACUUGUUUGACCAAAGUUUUAAUAGUAAUAAGUGUUUUAAAAAAAAUUUAUUAACAAUAAUGAUAACAAUGAUAAUAAUAAUAAUUGAAAUAUUUUUUUUCAUUUUUUUUCUUUGCCCGCGCUACACUGCGGGCUUACCUUUUAUUUUAAUAAAAUAAUAUUAUAAAAAUCAAAGACCCAAAAGCGUUGGGUUUGGCUGCAACAGCAGACCCAAGAACAAUGAGUCUAGCUGCAAUGCCAUACCCAAUAAUAAUAUUUAACUUGCCUUCCAAAAUUUUUAUUUUUUAAAAUUUUAAAAAAAUUAUGGUUUUUCUUCGAUAGUAAUAAUAUAUUUUUAAAAAUAAUAAUAAUAAUAACAAUAUUUAAAACAAAAAUAAUUAUAUUUUUUAGAUUAAUACUUUAAUUAUAAUAAAAAAAUUAUAAUUAUAAUACAAAUAAUUAUAUUUAAAAACUUGGGACCCAAGAACCUUGAGUCCUGAUGCAGGACCCGUUAGCCUUGGGUCUCUGCGCCAGACCCAAGAGCUUUUGGUCCUGACAUAGCCUAAAAAAUUAGGCUCUGAUGUAGGACUUAAGAGAUUCGGGUCUGACGAAGGAUCAAUAAUCUUGGGUCAAGCAUGUUUGCAAAAUCUAAGGGAUUUAAUUUUGCGCCUAGCAACACCUUAGAUCCUUAGGUGAUGCACCCUUUCUUACCCGAGUUUCUUAGGUUUGGAAAAAAAAACUAGACUCAAGAGGAAAGAAAAAAAAAUUAUUGGUAGGUCCUGCUAAGGGCACGACCCAACACUAAUGGAUCAUGUUAAAGACAGGACCCAUGGCUAAUGGGUCCAGUAGCUAUUUUGAAGUAAAGACCAAACUUAAUUUAUUUUUCUUGGGUGUGGUUGCACAACUACACCCAAUCUCAAUAUAUUUAAAAAAAUUAAAAAAAAUACAAAAUAUAAAAAUAUUAAUUUGAAAUAAAGAAAAUAAUAAAAGAAUUUCAAAAAACUUUCAAUGUAUUUUUGAAACGCAAAACCAAACAUCCUUUAAUAAGGAAACUCGACCCAACCUGAAAUAAAAAACAAUUAUCAUAACCUAACUUUUUUAUUCCUGUUGAUUUUUUUUCUUUGCUUUUUUUGUUAAUUAAUCUAAUUAAUUAUUGCACUUUUAUGACACGACCUUAUAGCCAGACCCAUAUCUAAUAUUCUUGGGUCCGGUGUUACGGCUAUACUCACUUAAACUUGGGUCAUACAAGUUUUAAUGUUAUUAUUAAUAUUAUAAAUAUUACUUUUACGUCAGAUGUUACAGCCAAACCCAAUAUUUUUUUGUAUAAUUUUGCAAAAAUACUUAAAAUUUUUAUAUUUUUUUAUAUUUUUUAUACAAAAACAUAACCUACGGCAUCAAGCAGGUCAUGUAAGUAAUAAUUUAUUAUUAGCUGAUAUCACGUGAGAAUAAUCUUCGUGCCCUUGGGAUGCAAGGCAAAUUAGGAUUUAUAUUCUCGUUCUGUCGUUUUCACUUUUUUUUUUUUUUUUGUUCUUGAAAUCAACACACGUUAUUUUGGUGUUUGUGAAACAAUGGGACAAGAGAUGGGUUACAAGUUUGUCAAGGAAAAAUAAAAGGUAGACGUCAUUGGAAUCAAUAAAAUAAGAAAUAGUUUGGCAAUGGAGUUGAAAUCAUGUUUUUAUAAAAUUAAUUUUUUUUAUUAAAAUUUAAUAUGAUCGGUAUAUUUUGGAUCGUUUUGAUGUGUUAAUAUUAAAAAUAAUUUUUUUAAAAAAAAUUAUUAAUAUAUAUUUCAAUAUAAAAAAUUAUUUAAAAAAUAAUCACUAUUAUAUUACCAAAUAUACUAUAAAUUAAAAAAGGAAAGCAAUAAGAUCCAAGUUCAAACACGAGCUAACAAAAGCCCUAUAAAUUCUUCACCAAUCGGGUCUCAUUUCCAUCAAAUUUCAUCGAUCCCAAUGAGACAAGAGAUGGAUUUAUAUUCUCGUUCUGUCGUUUUCACUUUUUAUUUUUAUUUUUCUUGAAAUCAACAAUUUUGCUGUUUGUGAAACAAUGAGAGAUGGGUUAUAAGUUUGUCAAGGAAAAACAAAAGGUCGACGUCAUUGAAAUUAAUAAAAUAAUUAAUGUUUGGAAAGUUGAAAUUAUAUUUUUAUAAAAUUUUAAAUUUUUUUUUAUUAAAAUUUAAUGUGAUUUAUAUGUUUUAGAUCGUUUUAAUAUACUGAUAUCAAAAAUAAUUUUUAAAAAAUAAAAAUAAUUAUUGAUAUAUAUUUUAAUAUAAAAAAUUAUUUAAAAAACAACAACAACCAUACUACUAAAUAUACUCUAAAUAAAAAAAGAAAAGCAAUAAGUCCAAGUUCAAACAGGAGCUAACAAAAGCCCUAUAAAUUCUUCACCAAUCGGGUCUCAUUUCCAUCAAAUUUCAUCGAUCCCAAGUUUGCGGAAGCAGCAGUUUCCAACCAAAAAACAAAAAUGGAAGAUUUUAUUUUCAGAGGGUUUCUGUCCUCUUCUUUACUUCUAUCUCUCUAUGUUGUGUUUAGAGUUGCUCAAACUUUUUGGCUGAAGCCGAAAAGCCAAGAGAAGCGUUUGAAGAAGCAAGGGAUCAGAGGCACUUCUUACAAGCUUUUGAAUGGUGAUAAGAAAGAGUUUGCAAGGUCUUCUAAAGAAGCUAGGUCCAGGCCCAUUGCUCUAAAUCAAGAAAUUGCACCACGUGUCCUUCCAUUCUUUUAUAAAAUGGUGCAAAUUUACGGUGAGCAGCAGCUUCACAAGCUAUCUCGUUUUUUCAGAUUUUUUAAUUAUUUCUAGGAAUUCUGUUCAUUCAUAUAUUUGGUAAUCGGUAUUAUCCUGAUUUGUAAUGCGAACGAGAACAGGAAAGGUCUCCCUGUGUUGGAUGGGGACAAGACCUAGCCUGCUAUUAGCUGAUCCAGAGCUGGUGAGGUUGGUGUUAACAGACACGAGUGGUCACAUUAUAAAGCCACCGCGAAAUGCCCUUGUGGGUCUAUUACAGCUGGGAGUCUCAACCUUGGAAGGAGACAAAUGGGCCAAGCGCAGAAGGUUGAUGACACCUGCCUUCCACGCUGAGAGAUUAAGGGUAACUUCACCUACCUGAAUCUUGCAAGUUUAAACAUUCUUAAGAAAUUUUUACAGCUUGCAUUUGAAAAUUUAGAAUCUAUUUGGACUUCUUUACAUUUUAUCAAUUGACCAAUGUGCUGCAUAAGCAAAAAUUGAUCCAGAAAACAUUCAUGAAUGUCAGCAAAUGGCAAGAAGGAGUGAUAGAGAGUUAUAUAAAUUAUAUUUUGAAACCUGUGAUUGAGCUAUUGAAUUGAGAUAGUUCUAUAAUAUAACAUGGUAUUCUAUUGGAUUCAGAUGGUUUUUUGACAAGUUGAGGUGAUGGUACAGCUAUACACACCAAAACGUGUACUGUAGUCAAACUUGAGAUGGAGGCUUGAAAGAAUUCUUGAAUUAUCAUAAAGAAACUUUGCGGGAACUAGUAUAGCCAUUUAACUUGUAUACAUGUUUUAUAAGGAUUUUCGGGUUCCAGAUCUUUAGCCUUCAAUCACUAGCUUUUUAACUUUUGAAUUGAAUCAACGGUUGAUAUGGUAUAAGAGUCUAUAUACUGAUUAGUCCUGGUAUGUGAACAGGGGAUGAUCCCAGCAUUUUCAGCCUGCUGUUGUGAUCUGGUUCAGCGAUGGAAGAAAUUAGCAGGUCCUCAGGGAUCAUGUGAAUUGGAUGUUGCAAGCGAAUUUAAUAUUCUUGCAAGUGAUGUUAUAGCUCGAGCAGCCUUUGGAAGCAGCUAUGAAGAGGGAAAGAAAAUAUUUGAUCUUCAAAAAGAUCAAGUUAUUUUGGUCCUUGAAGCUUUUUAUUCCAUUUACUUCCCUGGUUUGGGGUACAUAUUAAUGCCAUUUAUCUCUUGCAAAUUCAAGCUUCUCUUGGUGCUUGUUAAAAUUUUUAACCAAUGUCUGAUAAUACAUUAAAUCCCAGUUAAGAACAUUUCAUUUCUUUGCGCUUCUCCAACAGAUUCAUACCCUCUAAAAAGAACAAGAAGAGAUACAGUAUAGACAGAGAGAUAAAAGCAGCAUUGAGAAAUAUUAUCCAUAAGAAGGAGCGGGCCAUGCAAAAUGGAGACUCAGGCGAUGCUGACUUGCUAGGCUUGCUUUUACAGGGCAGGGAUGAUGCUGAUAAUGACAUGAAAAUUGAAGAUGUAAUCGAGGAAUGCAAGUUGUUCUUCUUUGCAGGCCAAGAGACCACAGCAAACUUACUCACUUGGACAUUGAUAGUUCUAUCUAUUCAUCCUGUCUGGCAAGAGAAAGCAAGAGAAGAAGUUUUGCAGAUUUGUGGCAAGAGAACACCUGAUAUCGAUAGUAUAAAACAACUCAGAAUUGUAAGUACUUCUUUUGUUCACGCAUUAAUUUACUAUGUUUAGUGAGCUACAGUCAACUCCUUGGAAACGAUUAUAAAUCCUUGGUUUAUGACACUAAAUAAAUUUGCAGGUCUCAAUGAUCUUAAACGAGGUACUAAGACUAUAUCCACCUGUGAAUCUUCUGUAUCGACAUACUCUAAAGGAAACAAGCAUUCGAGGAAUGUCCAUUCCAGCUGGGGUAGACCUCCUGUUACCAUUCCUGUUUAUUCACUAUGAUCCUGAGUAUUGGGGAGACAACGCAGAAGAAUUCAAACCAGAGAGAUUCUCUGAAGGAGUUUCAAAAGCAUCAAAGGAUGAAAUUGCAUUUUACCCUUUUGGCUGGGGCCCUAGAUUUUGUCUAGGCCAAAACUUUGCCUUGACUGAAGCAAAGAUGGCUCUUACUAUGAUUCUACAAAAUUUCUGGUUUGAGCUUUCACCCUCUUACACGCAUGCUCCUUUUAAUGUCAUAACUCUUCAACCACAACAUGGAGCUCCUAUUAUACUACACCAAUUAUAAGGUUUACAUAGUAGUUUAGUAUCUUAUGAAGGGAAGCAACUCAGUUGAAUGAGUCACAGCAGGUUGUCCCAAUGUUUUGUUGUCAACCAGGAACAAGUUGGUGCAGUGGAGAGUGUUGUUUCUAUGCAUAAUGUUGCCAUCUGCUAUUGUAUUAAAGUGAUUAUUCCUUUUCUUUCUUGUGGUUCUGAUGAUUGUUCAUAGUAUGUGCUUAUGAAAGCACCACCUAAUGGAGAAAGAUGCUUAUUUCCUUCAAUCUUUCAUUGUUCUCUGCUGCUUUCUCAUCUUCCAUUAAAGGGAGAGAGUACAAGUAACUCCUGGAACUUGUCCUCUCCGUUUUGUACCCUGUAAAAUAGAUAGAUACAUCCCAAAGAUUUGGCCUUUUAUAACUAUGACUUGUUAUCUUAAGACUCGAAUUAAAAUGGAGAUUUUUAAGGACCUCCAUUGUUCACAAGGUGCGCGAGGAACUCUGUUUUGGGUAUCCUCUGUUUUUUUUAUGUAGCCAUGAUUGCUGUAAUUUAACCUCUUCAAUAGUUUAAUUAUCUCUGAUUUUUUAACUUUUUAGAAUUGAUACAAACUUUCAAUUUCUUCAAUUUUACCCCCGAUUUUUAUCAAUUUCACCCUUAAAGGUUAGUGCUUGUUACGGAUUGGUCCCUGAUCUCGGAUUUUUUCAAUUUAACCCCUAAUUGACCCCAAAACUUCAAUCUUCUUGCAAUUUGGCCCCCAAUUUCAAUCAAUUAACUUGGUAAAAAUUAAAUUUGAUCUUUUAAAAUUCCAAUCUUCUCAAUUAAGCUCAAAUUAAGCUCCCAAACUUAAUGUUUCACCAAUUAAGCCUAAAAUAAAAUUAAUUUGACCCCUUUAAAGUAUAAUUAAGUCCUUGCACUUACUUAAACCCUUCAAUUGGACCCAAAUUAAUUCUUAAACAUAAUUAAAAUUCAAUUUGGCCCAUGAUUAAAUCAAAUUGGCCUAUUAAAAAUUUAAUUAUGUCCUUGGACUUAAUGUUUCACCAAUUAAGCCCAAAAUAAAAUUAAUUUGACCCAUUUAAAGUAUAAUUAAGUCCUUACACUUAAUUAAAUCCUUCAAUUGGAUCCAAAUUAAUUCCUAAACAUAAUUAAAAUUCAAUUUGGCUCAUGAUUAAAUCAAAUUGGCUUAUUAAACAUUUAAUUAUAUCCUUGGACUUAAUUUUUAUGCAAAUCCAUCCAAUAAUCAUUUAACUUUACCUUCAAUUUGCAUUUUUUUUUUUAAUUUUUGGGCAUAAUGGGGUACAAUUAGGCCUUGAAUCUCCUCCAAAAAAUUGCAGCUUGAUUCCCCGGCCUACUUUCUCUAUAUUGCCAGUCUUUAUUUUAUUUUUUAUUUUUAUUUUGAAAAACAAGUUAUUUUUGGAGAAUAACCCAGAAUUGGGUUAUGACAAUAUUAAUUAAUUUAUUAACUAGAAGAAAUAUAAAUACCUCAUGCAUUUUUUAUAUAAAUAGUGAAACACCUCUUCUUCUAUUUCUUUUUUUAAAAUUUUUAAAUCUUUUUUUUUUAUAGACUCUUCUACAAUUAAAUUUGCUAAAAUUAUAUUCUUUGUUCUCCCCCCCCCCUUCAAUUUAGCCCUUUUUUUUAUUUUUUUCAUUUUAAUUUUAUUAUUUUUUCUCAAUUUCAUCAUUAGAUUUUUAUUUUUUUUUACAAUUAUCUAGCAUGGUUUUGGACUAAUCAAGUUAAUUAGAUCAUAUCGAUACAACUUUUACAUGAUUUAAUUUUAAACACGAGCCAAACAAGGAGUCGAGUGGAGAGCUUUUUCUUUUAAUUUCAUUGGUUUUUUUCUAAAAACUUUUCUCAAACUUUUUUUAUUUAUCAGGUGAGUUGUUUUUGGAUCGAAGAAGCAGAUUAGAUCAUGCCAAAAAACUAUCAUAUUAUUUAAUUUUAAAUCCGGGUUAGGCAUAAAAUUGGAUCGAAAUGCUUAUUUCCUUCAAUCUGUUAUUGUUCUCUGCUGCUUUCUCAUCUUCGAUUCAAGGGAGAGUGAAAAUAACUCCUGGAACUUGUCCUUUCCUUUUUGUACCCAGUAAAAUAGAUAGAUACAUCCCAAAGAUUUGGCUUUUUAUUACUAUGACUUACUAUCUAAAGACUAAAAAAAAAAAGGAGUUUUUUAUGGACCUUCACUGUUUAUAAGGUGCGUGAAUAACUUUGUUCUGGGUGUCCUCUGUUUUUUUUUUUAGCCAUGAUUGCAAUAAUUUAACCUCUUCAAGUUUUAAUUCUCUCUUAUUUUUUAACCUUUUAGAAUUGAUAAAAAUUAUAACACAAAUAAUUAUAUUUAAAAACUUAAAAUUAAAAAAACCUUGGAUCCUAACACAAAACUUAUUAGCCUUGGUCCUAUGUUAGAAUCCAAGAGAUUGGAUCCUAACAAAAGACCAAUAGUAUUGGGUUAGGCAAUGCUGUAGACCCAAAAAAUUUGGGUUUGCGUCCUAGCUAUACCUAAACUCCCUUGGACAUCGCCUUCUUUUUUUAAUUUGGUAAUGGCAAUAACAAUAAUAAAAAAAGUGAUAAUAAUUCUUAAUUUUACCCUUCCAAUCAAAUCUUUUAUUAUUUUUCAAUAUUAAAAAUAUUUUAUAUAAAUUUAUUAAUAAUUAUAUGAAUAAUAUUAAUUGUAAUACAAAUUAUAUUAUUUAUAAUAAAAAUAAUAGUAGGUUUAAUAUUAAUGAUAUUAAUUUUAAAACAAAUCAUAAUAUUUAUAUCAUAAAUAAUAAUAUUUUUCAUACUAAUAAUUUUAAUUAUAAUAAAAAUAAUAAUAUUUAUCAUAUUAAUAAUAGUAUUGAACUUGUCUGACCUUUAUUAACAAUAAUAAUAAUAAUUGAUAUUUUUUUUCAUUUUUCUUCUUUUCCCGCGCUAUACCGCGGACUCACCUUUUAUUUUAAUAAAAUAAUAUUAUAAAAAUCUAAGACCCAAAAGCAUUGGGUUUGGUUACAACGUCGAACCCAAGAGCAUUGAGUCUAGCUGCAACACCAAACCCUAUAAUAAUAUUUAUAAUAUUAGUAAUAAUAUUUAACUUGUCUUUCAAAAACAAAUUUAAUCUUUAAAAAAUUUUUGGUUUUUCUUUGAUAGUAAUAAUAGUUUUUUAAAAUUUAAUAAUAAUAAUAAUUAAUAUAUUAUUAUUAUUAUUAUUAACUUUACACUUCAAAUCAAAUCUAUGGUUGUUUUUCAAUAUUGAUAAUAUUUGUUUUCAAAUUUAUUAAUUAUUUUAUUAAUAAUAUUAAUUAUGAUAAAAAUAAUAAUAUUUAUAACACAAAUAAUACUAUUUUUAAUAUUAAUACUUUAAAUUAUAAUAAAAAUACUAAUAUUUAUAACAAAAAUAAUUAUAUUUUUUAGAUUAAUACUUUAAUUAUAAUAAAAAUAAUUAUAAUUAUAAUUAUAAUACAAAUAAUUAUAUUUAAAAACUUAUGACCCAAGAACCUUGAGUCAUAACGCAGGACCCAUUAACCCUAGGUCCCGACACCACACCUAAGAGCUUUUGGUCCUGACACAACCCAAAAUAUUAGGUCCUGAUGCAGGACUUAAAAGAUUCGGUUCUGAUGAAGGAUCAAUAAUCUUCGGUCAAACGGGUCUGCAAAGACCUAAAGAAUUUAAGUAUGCGCCUAGCAACACCCAAGAUCCUUAGGUGAGGCACCCUUUCCUACCCCAAGUUUCUUAGGUUUGGAAAAGAAUGCUGGACUCAAGAGAAAAGAAAAAGAAAUGAAAAAGCAAUUAUUGGUGGAUCCUGCUAAGAGCAUGACCCAACAUUGAUGGAUCAUAUUAAGGACAGGACCCACAGCUAAUGGGUUCAACGGCGGCUGGACCCAAAGCUAUUUUGAAGUGAAGACCAAACUUAAUAUAUUUCUCUUGGGUGUGGUUGUACAAUUAGACCCAAUCUCAAUAUAUUUAAAAAUAAAAUUAAAAAAAUACAAAACAUAAAAAAUAUUAAUUUGAAGUAAAGAAAACAAUAAAAGAAUUUCAAAAAACUUUCAAUGUAUUUUUGGAAAGCAAAACCAAACAUGCUUUAAUAAGGAAAUUCGACCCAACCUGAAAUGAAAAAAAUAAUUAUCGUCACCUAACUUUUGUAUAAUAUAAAACAAAAUCACAUUAAUUUAUUUUCUCUUUACACUAUGAAAAAAAAAUCAAUAAGAGAAGAAAAAAAAUUUCAAGAGAGAAAAAAAUAAAAUUAGAAAUAUCUUAAAAUAUUUUUUAAAAAUUAUAUUGAGAUAAUAUUUUUUAUUGUUUUAAAUCCAUUUUUUAUAUAAUCACAUAAAAAAUAAUACAAAAUAUCUUAAUAUGAAUUAAAGGAAAAAAAUAUUAAUUUAAAGUUAAAAAAAUAAUCUUGUUAUAAAAUUUAUUAACAAUAACAAUAACAAUAAUUGUUAUUACUUAUUAUAUUUUUUUUCAUUUUUUUUCAAAUCUGUUAUUUUUCUAUAUAGGUCUGUAGACCUAGCAACAUAGGUCUGCUACCCCUGGGGGAGCCUGCAGACUCCAGACUUGGCAUAACAAAACUCAAGCGUGCCUAGCCGUGUGGGUAUGCAACCUCUAAAGGGGUCUGUAGACCCCAAACAUGGCAAAAAAUACCCAGGGGCGGGUCUGUACCCCGCUUCCAGUUAUGCCAACCCAAGUGCGGGGUUCUGCAAAUCUAGGCAAGAGGGUCUGCGACCCUAGAGGCAAGGGUCUGCAAUCGCGAGUAGGCUUGCAGACCCCACACAUGCGAGUUUGCAGACCCACUUGCCUGUGUCGACAGACAUGCACUUUGGUUCUACCGCUCGCGCUGGUUUGCACCCACCACCUGGGUAUGCAGCCCUUGCGCGCGGUUUAACAGACUUGCCCGCCUAGGUUUGCAACCUCGUGUCCGUGCCAGUCUCAACACCAUGUUUCUGCAACUUGGGGCCUGCGGUCCCACUUGACGCGCAACCACCUAGGGCUUGGCAUCCCCAGCAUCAUGUCUGCAGCCUAGGGUUUGGAGUCCCACUUGGCAAGCGGGUACCCAGGGCUUUGUCAGCCCAGCAUCAAGUGUCUGUAGCCACACCAAAAUUAGAGCUAACCUUGGGAAGUGGAUCUGCAGCCUCAUUGUGCUCCCACCCACCAAGCAUUAUAAUUUAUAGUGAAAUCACUUAUAAUUCACAAUAACUCUUCUUAACUAGUGCAAUCCACAAAUAAAACGUUUUUAAUUCAUAAUUUCUUUCGUUGUAAUAAAAUAAUGUUAAUAUUUUUAGUUAUAGUUAAGUAAUACUCUAAAAGGCGUGGGAAAACUACUGUAGCUUUCCGACGCCUUUUACUAAUAUAUUUACUUAUUAAUAUAUUAUAUAACUGUUAUUUUAUUUUAUUUUGUUUUUUGUUUUUUUAAUGAAUUUUUUUUAUUUGAUUUAGUUUGUUAAUGUUAAUUUUUUUUUAUUUAGUUAUCAGAUUUUCAUGAUACAGAUCCCGGAUUUGAUAGGUUAACCUAAUUUGACGAGUUAACCCGGAUUUUUUUUAAUUAUUUUUUUCAUUUAAUUUAGUUUGUUAAAGUUAAUUUUCUUUCUAUUUAAUUAUCAGACUUUCAUGACACGUAUCCUAGGCUUAACGGGUUAACUUGGUUUGAUGGGUUAACUCAGUUAAUUCUGGGUAAACCCAUCAUUUGUUUUUCUAUUUAGUUAUCAAACUUUCAUGACGUGAAUCCCAGGUUUUACGGGAUAACCUGAUUUAAAGGGUUAACCCAAUUAAUUCAAUUUUUUUUCUUUUUCUUCAUGUUGAUUUUUUUUUUUAAUUAAUCUAUUUAAUUAUUACACUUUUAUAACAAGACCUUAUAGCCAUACCCACAUCCAAUAUUUUUGGGUCCGUUGUUGCAGUCAUGCUCACUUAAACUUGGAUUAUACAAGUUUAAUGUUAUUAUUAAUAUUAUCAAUAUUACUCUUACGUCAGGCUUUGCAGCUAAACCCAAGAUUUUUGGAUAUAAUUUUACAGAAAAAUUUAAAAAUUUUAAAUUUUUAUUUUUUUAUAUUUUUUAUAUAAAAAAAUAAACCGCGACAUCGCAAGGAUGAUAUACCUAGUAAUCUAUUAUUAGCGUAUAUCACGUGAGAAUAAUCUUCGUGCCCUUGGGCUGCAAGGCAAAUUAGGAUUUAUAUUCUCGUUCUGUCGUUUUCACUUUUUAUUUUUUUUGUUCUUGAAAUCAAUACACGUUAUUUUGGUUUUUCUGAAACAAUGAGACAAGAGAUGGGUUAUAAGUUUGUCAAGGAAAAACAAAAGGUCGACGUCAUUGGAAUCAAUAAAAUAAAUAAAGACAGGAAAGCAAUAAGGUUCAAGUUCAAACAGGAGCUAACAAAAGCCCUAUAAAUUCUUCACCAAUCGGGUCUCAUUUCCAUCAAAUUUCAUCGAUCCCAAGUUUGCUGAAGCAGCAGUUUCCAACCAAAAAACAAAAAUGGAAGAUUUUAUUUUCAGAGGGUUUCUGUCCUCUUCUUUACUUCUAUUCUCUAUGUUGUGUUUAGAGUUGCUCACACUUUUUGGCUGAAAGCCGAAAAGCCAAGAGAAGCGUUUGAGAAGCAAGGGAUCAGAGGCACUUCUUACAAGCUUUUGAAUGGUGAUAAGAAAGAGUUUGCAAGGUCUUCUAAAGAAGCUAGGUCCAGGCCCAUUGCUCUAAAUCAAGAAAUUGCACCACGUGUCCUUCCAUUCUUUUAUAAAAUGGUGCAAAUUUACGGUGAGCAGCAGCUUCACAAGCUAUCUCAUUUUUUCAGAUUUUUUUAUUAUUUCUAGGAAUUUCUGUUCAUACAUUAUUUGGUAAUCGGUAUUAUCCUGAUUUGUAAUGCGAACGAGAACAGGAAAGGUCUCCCUGUGUUGGAUGGGGACAAGACCUAGCCUGCUAUUAGCUGAUCCAGAGCUGGUGAGGUUGGUGUUAACAGACACGAGUGGUCACAUUAUAAAGCCACCGCGAAAUGCCCUUGUGGGUCUGUUACAGCGGGGAGUCUCAACCUUGGAAGGAGACAAAUGGGCCAAGCGCAGAAGGUUGAUGACACCUGCCUUCACGCUGAGAGAUUAAGGGUAACUUCACCUACCUGAAUCUUGCAAGUUUAAACAUUCUUAAGAAAUUUUUACAGCUUGCAUUUGAAAAUUUAGAAUCUAUUUGGACUUCUUUACAUUUUAUCAAUUGACCAAUGUGCUGCAUAAGCAAAAAUUGAUCCAGAAAACAUUCAUGAAUGUCAGCAAAUGGCAAGAAGGAGUGAUAGAGAGUUAUAUAAAUUAUAUUUUGAAACCUGUGAUUGAGCUAUUGAAUUGAGAUAGUUCUAUAAUAUAACAUGGUAUUCUAUUGGAUUCAGUUGGUUUUUUGACAAGUUGAGGUGAUGGUACAGCUAUACACACCAAAACGUGUACUGUAGUCAAACUUGAGAUGGAGGCUUGAAAGAAUUCUUGAAUUAUCAUAAAGAAACUUUGCGGGAACUAGUAUAUCCAUUUAACUUGUAUGCGAUGUUUUAUAAGGAUUUUCGGAUUCCAGAUCUUUAGCCUUCAAUCACUAGCUUUUUAACUUUUGAAUUUCAAUCACUAGCUUUUUAACUUUUGAUUGAAUCAACGUUUGAUGGUAUUGGGCUGGUUUGUGAACAGGGGAUGAUCCCAGCAUUUUCAGCCUGCUGUUGUGAUCUGGUUCAGCUGCAGGUCCUCAGGGAUCAUGUGAAUUGGAUGUUGCAAGCGAAUUUAAUAUUCUUGCAAGUGAUGUUAUAGCUCGAGCAGCCUUUGGAAGCAGCUAUGAAGAGGGAAAGAAAUAUUUGAUCUUCAAAAGGAUCAAGUUAUUUUGGCCCUUGAAGCUUUUUUUCCAUUUACUUCCCUGGUUUGGGGUAUUAAUGCCAAUCUCUUGCAAAUUCAAGCUUCUCUUGGUGCUUGUUAAAAUUUUUAACCAAUGUCUGAUACAUUAAAUCCCAGUUAACAACAUUUCAUUUCUUUGCGCUUCUCCAACAGAUUCAUACCCUCUAAAAAGAACAAGAAGAGAUACAGUAUAGACAGAGAGAUAAAAGCAGCAUUGAGAAAUAUUAUCCAUAAGAAGGAGCGGGCCAUGCAAAAUGGAGACUCAGGCGAUGCUGACUUGCUAGGCUUGCUUUUACAGGGCAGGGAUGAUGCUGAUAAUGACAUGAAAAUUGAAGAUGUAAUCGAGGAAUGCAAGUUGUUCUUCUUUGCAGGCCAAGAGACCACAGCAAAUUUACUCACCUGGACAUUGAUAGUUCUAUCUAUGCAUCCAGUCUGGCAAGAGAAAGCAAGAGAAGAAGUUUUGCAUAUUUGUGGCAACAGAGCACCUGAUAUCGAUAGUAUAAAACAACUCAGAAUUGUAAGUACUUCUUUUGUUCACGCAUUAAUUUAUCAUGUUUUGUAAGCUACAGUCAACUCCUUGGAAACGAUUAUAAAUCCCUGGUUUAUGAAACUAAAUAAAUUUGCAGGUCUCAAUGAUCUUAAACGAGGUACUAAGACUAUAUCCACCUGUGAAUCUUCUGUAUCGACAUACUCUAAAGGAAACAAGCAUUCGAGGAAUGUCCAUUCCAGCUGGAGUAGACCUCCUGUUACCAUUCCUGUUUCUUCACUAUGAUCCUGAGUAUUGGGGAGACAACGCAGAAGAAUUCAAACCAGAGAGAUUCUCUGAAGGAGUUUCGAAAGCAUCAAAGGAUGAAAUUGCAUUUUACCCUUUUGGUUGGGGCCCUAGAUUUUGUCUAGGCCAAAACUUUGCCUUGACUGAAGCAAAGAUGGCUCUUACUAUGAUUCUACAAAAUUUCUGGUUUGAGCUUUCACCCUCUUACACGCAUGCUCCUUGUAAUGUCAUAACUCUUCAACCACAACAUGGAGCUCCUAUUAUACUACACCAAUUAUAAGGUUUACAUAGUACUUUGGUGUCUUAGGAAGGGAAGCAACUCAGUUGAAUGAGUCACAGCAGGUUGUCCCAAUGUUUUGUUGUCAACCAGGAACAAGUUGGUGCAGUGGAGAGUGUUGUUUCUAUGCAUAAUGUUGCCAUCUGCUAUUGUAUUAAAGUGAUUAUUCCCUUUGCUUUCUUUUGGUUCUGAUGAUUGUUCAUAGUUUGUGCUUCUGAAAACACCACCUAAUGGAGAAAGAUGCUUAUUUCCUUCAAUCUUUUAUUGUUCUCUGCUGCUUUCUCAUCUUCCAUUCAAGGGAGAGAGCACAAGUAACUCCUGGAACUUGUCCUUUCCUUUUUGUACCCAGUAAAAUAGAUAGAUACAUCCCAAAGAUUUGGCUUUUUAUUACUAUGACUUGUUAUAUUAAGACUCGAAUUAAAAUGGAGAUUUUUAUGGACCUCCACUGCUCAUAAGGUGCGUGAGGAACUGUGUUUUGGGUAUCCUCUGUUUUUUUUAUGUAGCCAUGAUUGCUGUAAUUUAACCUCUUCAAUAGUUUAAUUGUCUCUGAUUUUUUAACUUUUUAGAAUUGAUACAAAUUAAAACAAUCUUUGAUUGAAUCCUAAACUUUUUUAACUUUUUUAUGUAGCCAUGAUUGCUGUAGUUUAAUUGUCUCUAAACUUGAUUUUUUUUAAUAGAAUCCUUGAUUGAAUCGAUAAACUAUUAAAAGUUAAAUUAAAUUUUUAAACGUAAUUAAUUCUUACUAUUUAUAUCUGACUUUUAAACUUUUUUUUUCAAUUAAGUUUUUAAUUAAACCCAUUAAAAAUUUAAUUAAAACCUUAAAUUUAAUUAAUUCUUCUAAUACUGGUUAAGUUGGAUUUUAACCUUCACUUUCUUUCCGGUAAGUCUUUCUUUAGCUCAUCAAAUUAAAAUAUCAUAGUAUGGUUAUUUUGGUUUGUUGCAACUUGAGGACUUAUCUCCUCGUGUCUUGAAAAUAUUUUUGUAUUUUAAAUUUUGAAAUGUUUUUAUUUUUGAAUGCAAUUAACAUGAACAGUGCAAGAAAAGCAAGGAAUCCUUGCUUUUCUUUAACUGCGUUUUCAAAGCAAAAAAUAAGUGGGAUCCAUGAACAUUACAUGACUUUUUUCCUUAACCAAAUAGUUGCAAACUGCGUUUUAAUUAAAACGCAGCCGCAACCGCAUAAACAAACGGGCUCUUAAUUUGACCCGGUGAAAAACAUAGGUUGACUCGAUGUAAAACCCAAUCGACCUGGUCCAUUUUCAUUGAAUCAAAAUAUCAUAGUCUGAUUAUUCUGGUUUGUUGCAGCUCAAGAGCUUAUCUCCUCGUAUCUUGAAAAUAUUUUUUUAUUUUUAAAUAAAAAAAUAUAUUAUUUGUAAAAAAAACUUUUUUGGGGAUCCAAAAUUGAGUUGUGACAUCAUUAUGCAAUUUUUACUCUAAAAUAAAAAAAAUUAAAAAUUAAAAAAAUUGAAAGUUCAAGGCUUUGAUCCUAGUUAUAAAAUCUAAACUAGUUCGAAAGGUUUACUCGAGACUUGGUUAACCUGAAGCAUGGACUAGAUUGAGUUAAACAAACAGAAGUUAGUUAAUUUGACCCGGUUAAAAACAUAGGUUUACUCGAGGUAAAACUCAAUCGAUCUAGUCCUAAAUUUAUUGAUGUUUUUUCAAACAAAAAAAAAAAAUCAAAACAGCACUAUUUUAGUUAUUUUUUAAAAAUUAAAUCAAUAUGAUUUGACCUUUAUGGUCUAUGACUAGAACUUUGCUCCCAGUUAAAUUUUAGAACUAUGACUUAUUAUCUUAAUGGAUAUUUGAGAGUAUGGUAAUGGUUAUUUUUUAAAGUGUUUUUUGUUCGAAAAUAUAUUAAAAUAUUUUUUUAAAAUUAUUUUUGACAUCAAAACGAUAUGAAAAAAAAGCAUCAAUAAUUUAAAGUAAAAAAAUAAAAAAUAUAUUUAAAAAAAACAUUUUUAAAACAUAAAAUUUGUUUCUAAUGGAUCUUCACUGUCGAUUUGAACAGUGAAUCUGCGCAAGGAACUCAAUUUUGGACGUACUCGGAAGGUUGGGUGAGCAGAUCGGAGAAUGGAUGGAUUCAAAUUACAAAGCUGAUGUGAGCAGCUUGGACAAUAGCAAGUGGUGGGCUCAUUUUACUGCGAGGCGAUUUUUCCAGCCUGCCUGUGGUCCUCUUGCAAGUGGAUUGUAUUCCACUAGGGGUGUGCCGCGUGUUUGCGUGUGUGAGAGGGGAAGAUUCCGGUGACUUUUCCAAGUGAAAAAUGUGUCUAUGAUAAAUCAAUAUAUAUCACUUAUGUUUUUGUCAUAAAUGAAAAAAAAUAUUUAAAAGAUAUUUGAAAUCAUAUUCAUUAAUUUAUUAACUAGAAGAAAUAUAAAUACCUCAUGCAUUUUUUUAUAUAAAUAGUGAACCAUCUCUUCUUCUUUUUUUUUUUUUUAAUUUUUAAAUCUUUUCUUUUGAUAGACUCUUCUACAGUUAAAUUUGAUAAAAUUAUAUUCUUUUUUCUUUUUCCCCCCUUCAAUUUAGCUCUCUUUUUUUUAAUUUUAAUUUUAUUAUUUUUUCUCAAUUUCAUUGUUAGAUUUUUUUUUACAAUUAUCUAGCUUGGUUUUAGACUAAUCAAGUUAAUUAGAUCGUGUCGAUACAAUGUUUACACGGUUUAAUUUUAAAUACGAGUCAAACAACGAGUCGAGUUGAGAGUUUUUUCUUUUAAUUUCAUUGAGUUUUUUAAAAAAAUAUUUCUCAAACUUUUUUUAUUGGUCAGAUGAGUUGUUUUUGGAUCGAAAAAGUAGAUUAGAUUAUGCCAAAAAAACUAUCAUAUUAUUUAAUUUUAAACCAAAAUUAAACAUAAAAUUGGGUAGGAAUGCUUAUUUCCUUCGAUCUGUUAUUGUUCUCUGCUGCUUUCUCAUCUUCCAUUCAAGGGAGAGAGUACAAGUAACUCCUGGAACUUGUCCUUUCCUUUUUGUACCCAGUAAAAUAGAUAGAUACAUCCCAAAGAUUUGGCUUUUUAUUACUAUGACUUGUUAUCUGAAGACUCAAAAGAAAAAGGAGUUUUUUAUGGACCUUCAUUGUUUAUAAGGUGAGCGAAGAACUCUGUUCUGGGUGUCCUCUGUUUUUUUUUUUUUAGCCAUGAUGAUUGCAAUAAUUUAAUCUCUUCAAGUUUUAAUUCUCUCUCAUUUUUUAACUUUUUAGAAUUGAUAUAAAUUAUAAUACAAAUAAUUAUAUUUAGAAACUUAAAAUUAAAAAAACCUUGAAUUCUAAUGCAAAACUCAUUAGCCUUGGUCCUGUGUUAGGAUCCAAGAGAUUGGAUCCUAACAAAAGACCAGUAAUAUUGGGUUAGGCAAGGCUAGAGACCCAAGAAAUUUGGGUUUGCGUCCUAACCAAACCUAAACUUCUUUGGACGUCGCUUUUUUUUUCUGCCUCAAGUUUCUUGAAUCUAAAAAAAAAUGUCUGACCCAAAAAAAAGGAAAAAAAAAUAAAAUCAAAUUACUGAUGGAUCCUUCUAGGGGCAAGACCCGUCAACUAGUCCUGCUAGAGAUAGAACACACGCUGAUGGGUCAUGCUCGCAGCAAGAGUCAAGAUUUAUAGGCUUGGUGGCGGCUGGACCUAAAGCUAUUUUAGAUCAUAUUUAUAGUUUCAUCAAAAAUCAAUAAGAGAAAAAAAAAAAAAACAAGAGAGUAAAAACUAAAAUUGAAAAUAUCUUAAAAUAUUUUUUAAAAAAUAUAUUGAGAUAAUUUUUUAAAUUUUUUUUAAAAUAUAAUUUAUAUAUAAUCACAUCAAAAUAAUAAUAAAAAUAUCUUAAUAUGAAUUAAGGAAAAUAUUAAUUUGAAGUGAAGAAAAAAUAAAUAAUAAUAAUAAUUGAUUUUACCAUUAAAAUCAAAUCUAUGCUUUUUCUAUAGCAAUAAUAUUUAUUUUAAGUUCAAUAAUAUUAAUCAAUUUAAUAAUAUUUAUAAUAUUAAUAAUAAUAUUUAACUUCUCUGCCUAAUUUUAUAUAUUUUCAAUCUUUUAAAAACAAUUUAUGCUUUCUUCGAUGAUAGUAAUAAUUGUUUUUUUUUAAAUUUGGUAAUGGCAAUAACAAUAACAAAAAAGUGAUAAUAAUUCUUAAUUUUACCCUGCAAAUCAAAUAUUUUAUUAUUUUUCAAUAUUAAAAAUAUUUUAUAUAAAUUUAUUAAUUAUUAUAUGAAUAAUAUUAAUUGUAAUACAAAUUAUAUUAUUUAUAAUAAAAAAUAAUAGUAGGUUUAAUAUUAAUGAUAUUAAUUAUAAACAAAUCAUAAUAUUUAUAUCACAAAUAAUAAUAUUUUUCAUAAUAAUAAUUAUAAUUAUAAUAAAAAUAAAAAUAUUUAAAAUACAAAUAAUAAUAAUAUUUAUCAUAUUAAUAAUAGUAUUGAACUUUAUUAACAAUAAUGAUAACAAUAAUAAUAAUAAUUGAUAUUUUUUUUCAUUUUUCUUCUUUGCUCGUGCUACACCGCGGGCUCACCUUUUAUUUUAUUAAAAUAAUAUUAUAAAAAUCUAAGACCCAAAAGCGUUGGGUUUGGCUACUACGUCGGACCCAAGAGCAUUGAGUCUAGCUGCAACACCAAACCCAAUAAUAAUAUUUAUAAUAUUAGUAAUAAUAUUUAACUUGUCUUCCAAAAGUUUUUUUUUAAUCUUUAAAAAAAUUAUGGUUUUUCUUCGAUAGUAAUAAUAGUUUUUAAAAAUUUAAUAAUAAUAAUAAUUAAUAUAUUAUUAUUAUUAUUAUUAUUAUUAACUUUACACUUCAAAUCAAAUCUAUGGUUGUUUUUCAAUAUUGAUAAUAUUUUUUUUUCAAAUUUAUUAAUAAUAUUAUUUAUGAUAAAAAUAAUAAUAUCUAUAACACAAAUAAUACUAUUUUUAAUAUUAAUACUUUUAAUUAUAAUAAAAAUACUAAUAUUUAUAACAAAAAUAAUUAAUUUUUUAGAUUAAUACUUUAAUUAUAAUAAAAAUAAUUAUAAUUAUAAUACAAAUAAUUAUAUUUAAAAACUUAGGACCCAAGACCCUUGAGUCCUAACACAGGAUCCUUAACCCUGGGUUCCGACGUCACACCCAAGAGCUUUUGGUCCUGACACAGCCCAAAACAUUGGGUCCUAAUGCAGGACUCAAGAGAUUCGGUUCUGACGAAGAAUCAAUAAUCUUUGAUCAAGCGGGUCUGUAAAGACCUAAAGGAUUUAAGUCUGCGCCUAGCCACACCUAAGAUCCUUGGGUGAGACACCCUUUCCUACCCCAAGUUUCUUGGAUUUGAAAAAGAAUGCCGAACUCAACAAGAAAGAAAACAAAAUGAAAAACAAUUAUUGGUGGAUCCUGCUAGGGGCAUGACCCAACACUGAUGGAUCAUGUUAAGGAUAGGACCCAUGGCUAAUGGGUCCAGUGGUGGCUGGACCCAAAGCUAUUUUGAAGUAAAGACCAAACUUCAUAUAUUUGUUUUGGAUGUGGUUGUACAACGACACCCAAUCUCAAUAUAUUUAAAAAUAAAAUUUAAAAAAUACAAAACAUAAAAAAUAUUAAUUUGAAGUAAAGAAAACAAUAAAAGAAUUUCAAAAAACAUUCAAUGUAUUUUUGGAACGCAAAACGAAACAUGCUUUAAUAAGGAAAUUCGACCCAACCUGAAAUGAAAAAACAAUUAUCAUCACCUAACUUUUGUAUAAUAUAAAACAAAAUCACAUUAAUUUAUUUUCUCUUUACAGUAUGAAAAAAAAAUCAAUAAGAGAAAAGAGAAAAAAUUUCAAGAGAGAAAAAAAUUAAAAUUAGAAAUAUCUUAAAAUAUUUUUUAAAAAAUAUAUUGAGAUAAUAAUUUUUAUUGUUUUAAAUCUAUUUUUUAUAUAAUCACAUAAAAAAUAAUACAAAAUAUUUUAAUAUGAAUUAAAGGAAAAAUAUUAAUUUAAAGUUAAAAAAAUAAUCUUGUUAUAAAAUUUAUUAACAAUAACAAUAACAAAAUUGUUAUUACUUAUUAUUUUUUUUUUCUUUUUUUUUUCAAAUCUGUUAUUUUUCUAUACGGGUCUGUAGACCCAGCAGCAUGGAUCUACUACCCCUGGGGGAGUCUGCAGACUCCAGACUUGGCAGAACAAAACCCAGGCGUGCCUAGCCGCGUGGUUAUGCAACCCUUGAGGGGGUCUGUAGACCCCAAACAUGACAAAAAAUACCCAAGGGCGGGUCUGAACCUCGCUCCCGACUAUGCACACCUAAGUGCGGGGUUUUGCAAACCUAGGCGAGAGGGUUUGCGACCCUAAAGGCGAGGGUCUGCAAUCGCGAGUGGGCUUGCAAACCCAUACACGCGGGUGUGCAAACCCACUUGCCUGUGUCUACAGCCAUGCACUUUGGUUAUGUCGCUCGUGUUGGUCUGCACCCACCACCUAGGUAUGCAGCCCUUGUGCGCGGUUCAACAGACCUGCUCGCCUAGGUUUGCAACCUUGUGCCCGUGCCAGUCCCAACACCAUGUUUCUGCAACUUGGAGCCUACAGUCCCACUUGGCACGCAGGCACCUAGGGCUUGACAUCCCUAGCAUCAUGUCUGCAGCCUAGGGUUUGGAGUCCCACUUAGCAAGCAGGUACCCAGGGCUUGCCAGCCCCAGCGUUAAGUGUCUGCAGCUGCACCAAAAUUAGAACUAACCCAGGGAGUGGAUCUGCAACCUCAUGAUGCUCCCACCCACCAAGCAUUAUAAUUUACAGUGAAAUCACUUAUAAUACACAAUAACUCUUCUUAACUAGUGUAAUCCACAAAUAAAAUGUUUUUAAUUCAUAAUUUCUUCUGCUGUAAUAAAAUAUUAUUAUUAUUUUUAGUUAUAGUUAAUUGAUAACUUCAGCAGCAAGACCAUUAAGUAAUACUCUAAAAGGCGUGUGAAAACUAUUGUAGCUUUCCCACACCUUUUACUAAUAUAUUUACUUAUUAAUAUAUUAUAUUAUUAUAAUUAUUAUAUUAUAAUUAUAAUUAUAAUAAUUAUUAUAUUAUAUUAUAUAACUGUUUUUUUUUAAUGAUUUUUUUGUUUGAUUUAAUUUGUUAAUGUUAAAUUUUUUUAUUUAGUUAUCAGAUUUUCAUGAUACGGAUCUCGGGUUUGAUGGGUUAACCUGAUUUGACGAGUUAACCCGGAUUUUUUUUUAAUUAUUUUUUUUUCAUUUAGUUUAGUUUGUUAAAGUUAAUUUUCUUUAUAUUUAAUUAUCAGACUUUCAUGACACGUAUCUUGGGCUUGACGAGUUAACUUGGUUUGAUGGGUUAACCCAGUUAAUUUUGGGUAAACCUGUCAUUUGCUUUCUAUUUAGUUAUCAAACUUUCAUGACGCGAAUUCCAGGUUUUACGGGAUAACUUGGUUUAGAGGGUUAACUCAAUUAAUUCAAAAAAAAAUUUCUUUUUCUUUAUUAGUUGUUUUCUUCCUGUUGAUUUUUUUUAUUUGUUUUUUUUAAUCCAUCUAUUUAAUUAUUACACUUUUAUGACACGAUCUUAUAGCCAGACCCACAUCCAAUAUUUUUGGAUCCAGUGUUGCAGCUAGGCUUACUUAAACUUGGGUUAUGCAAGUUUAAUGUUAUUAUUAAUAUUAUAGAUAUUACUUUUACGUUAGGCGUUGCAACAAAACCCAAGAUUCUUGGGUAUAGCUUUACAAAAAAAUCCAAGAUUUUUAAAUCUUUGUUUUUUUAUAUAUUUUUUUAUAAAAAAAUAUAAUUUGUGGUAUCGGUCGGGUCAUGGAACUAGUAAUCUAUUAUUAGCUGAUAUCACGUGAGAAUAAUCUUCGUGCCCUUGGGCUGCAAGGCAAAUUAGGAUUUAUAUUAUCGUUCUGUCGUUUUCACUUUUUAUUUUUUUUGUUCUUCAAAUCAACACACGUUAUUUUGGUGUUUGUUAAACAAUGGGACAAGAGAUGGGUUAUAAGUUUGUCAAGGAAAAACAAAAGGUCGACGUCAUUGGAAUCAAUAAAAUAAGUAACCAUUUGGGAACGAUAUUGAAAUAUGUUUUUAUAAAAUUUAAAUAUUUUUUUAAUUAAAAUUUAAUAUAAUUUAUAUAUUUUCGUUUUGAUAUGUUAUAUCAAAAAUAAUUUUUUAAAAAUAAAAAAAUAUCAUUAACAUACAUUUUAACAUAAAAAAUUAUUUAAAAAAAAAAUACUAUCAUACAGCCAACCAUACUCUACAGGAGCUAACAAAAACCCUAUAAAUUCUUCACCAAUCGGGUCUCAUUUCCAUCAAAUUUCAUCGAUCCCAAGUUUGCUGAAGCAGCAGUUUCCAACCAAAAAACAAAAAUGGAAGAUUUUAUUUUAAGAGGGUUUCUGUCCUCUUCUUUACUUCUAUCUCUCUAUGUUGUGUUUAGAGUUAACCUGGUUUGAAGGGUUAACUCAGUUAAUUUAUAUUUUUUUUUAUUAGUUAUUUUCUUCAUGCUGGUUUUUUUCCUAUAAUUUUUUUUUUCUUAAUUUAUUUAAUUAUCAUACUUUUAUGAUAUGAUCUUGCAGCUAGAUCCACAUUCAAGGUUAUUGAGUCUGGUAUUGCAGCCAAAUCCAUUUAAACUUGAAUCAUAUAAGUUUAAUAUUAUUAUUAAUAUUAUAAAUAUUAUUUUUAGGUCAGAUAUUGCAAUCAAAUCUAAGAUUCUUGGGUAUAGUUUUACAAAAAUAUCUAAUACUUUUAAAUUUUAUUUUUUUAUAUAGAAAAAUUUAUCCAUAGCAUCGCGGAAGUUAUCUAAGUAGUACUCUAUUAUUAGCGGAUAUGACGUGAGAAUAAUCUUCGGAGCCUCGGGCUGCAAGGCAUGUCAGGAUUUAUAUUCCCGUUCUGUCGUUUUCAUUUUUUUGUUUUUUUUGUACUUGAAAUCAACACACGUGAUUUUGGUGUUUGUGAAACAACGAGUCAAGAGAUGGGUUAAGUUUGUCAAGAUAAAACAAAAGGCUGUCGUGGGCUUGUGGUGUGAUCUUCUUUUUUUCUCCUUGGAUUCUUGAUGCUUUUUAGGUGGUGUUUUAUAAUAAUGAUUAUUUUUUAAUAUAUGUUUUAUUUAAAAAUAUAUUAAAAUAAAUUUUUUAUUUUAAAAAAUUAUUUUUAACAUUAAUUAAUCAAAAUAAUAUAAAAAUAUUAAAUAAAAAAAUUAAAAUUUUUAUAAAAACAUUAUAUUUUUAAAAGUCACUGACCAAUAAUUCUACAUUGACAGGUCAGAAUUAUUUGUACUAAAACAUCAAAGUUAUCACAUCAACAUAAUUAAAAAUUGUUGAAAAAAUUCAUUUUAAAAUAAUUUAAUUUUUUUAUAUAAAAAACAUGUAUUAAUCAUGUAAUUCAUUGGCUAACAGCAAGUGUUUUUUUUUUUUUUUUCUAGAUUUUGAUAUCUAAAAGUUUACUAGAUCCUAACUAAUCAAAUCAAACUAUAUUAAUUUAAUAAAAAAUAAUUAUAAUUUAAUUAUAAUAUACUCAAUUUACCAUACUCCAAGUCAAACACUUACUUAAUAAUAAUAAACGUCCAAUCACUUGACUAAUCACCAUUUUCGGUUGGUGAUAAAUGUGUUUGUUUGAAAAUGUGUUUAGGAUAUUUUUUAAAAUAUUUUUAAUUAAAAAAUAUAUUAAAUGAUAUUUUUUUAUUUUUAAAAAAUUAAUUUUUAUUUUAAUGCAUUAAAAUGAUGUGAAAAAUCAAAAAUAUAUUAAUUUUUUUAAAAAAAUAACAGUGAGAUAGCACUAUAAAUUUCAUCCACCCCAGGUAUGCUGAAGCAGCAGUUUCCAACCAAACAACCAAAAAUGGAAGAUUUUAUUUUCAGAGGGUUUCUGUCCUCUUCUUUACUUCUAUCUCUCUAUGUUGUGUUUAGAGUUGCUCACACUUUUUGGCUAAAGCCGAGAAGCCAAGAGAAGCGUUUGAGGAAGCAAGGGAUCAGAGGCACUUCUUACAAGCUUUUGAAUGGUGAUAUGAAAGAGUUUGCAAGGUCUUCUAAAGAAGCUAGGUCCAGGCCCAUUGCUCUAAAUCAAGAAAUUGCACCACGUGUCCUUCCAUUCUUUUAUAAAAUGGUGCAAAUUUACGGUGAGCAGCAGCUUCACAGGCUAUCUCAUUUUUUCAGAUUUUUUUUUAUUAUUUUUAGGAAUUUCUGUUCAUACAUAUACUUGGUAAUCGGUAUUAUCCUGAUUUGUAAUGCGAACGAGAACAGGAAAGGUCUCCCUGUGUUGGAUGGGGACAAGACCUAGCCUGCUAUUAGCUGAUCCAGAGCUGGUGAGGUUGGUGUUAACAGACACGAGUGGUCACAUUAUAAAGCAACCGCGAAAUGCCCUUGUGGGUCUGUUAAACCUGGGAGUCUCAACCUUGGAAGGAGACAAAUGGGCCAAGCGCAGAAGGUUGAUGACACCUGCCUUCCACGCUGAGAGAUUAAGGGUAACUUCACCUACCUGAAUCUUGCAAGUUUAAACAUUCUUAAGAAAUUUUUACAGCUUGCAUUUGAAAGUUUAGAAUCUAUUCGGACUUCUUUACAUUUUAUCAAUUGACCAAUGUGCUGCAUAAGCAAAAACUGAUCCAGAAAACAUUCAUCAAUGUAAGCAUAUGUCAAGAAGGAGUGAUAGAGAGUUUCAUAAAUCAUAUUUUGGAACCUUUGCUUUAGCUAUUGGAUUGAGGUAGUUCUAUGACAUAGUAUUUUAUGGAUUAAGAUGGUUCUUUUACAAGUUGAGGAGAUGGUACAGCUAUACACACCAAAACGGUACUGUAGUCAAACUUGAGAUGUUUUUAUAAGGAUUUUCGGAUUCCAGAUCUUUAGCCUUCAAUCACUAGCUUUUUUAACUUUUGAAUUGAAUCAACGUUUGAUAUGGUAUUAGAGUCUAUAUGCUGAUUAGUGCUGGUAUGUGAACAGGGGAUGAUCCCAGCAUUUUCAGCCUGCUGUUGUGAUCUGGUUCAGCGAUGGAAGAAAUUAGCAGGUCCUCAGGGAUCAUGUGAAUUGGAUGUUGCACGCGAAUUUAAUAUUCUUGCAAGUGAUGUUAUAGCUCGAGCAGCCUUUGGAAGCAGCUAUGAAGAGGGAAAGAAAAUAUUUGAUCUUCAAAAGGAUCAAGUUAUUUUGGCCCUUGAAGCUUUUUAUUCCAUUUACUUCCCUGGUUUGAGGUACAUAUUAAUGCCAUUUAUCUCUUGCAAAUUCAAGCUUCUCUUGGUGCUUGUUAAAAUUUUUAACCAAUGUCUGAUAAUACAUUAAAUCCCAGUUAACAACAUUUCAUUUCUUUGCGCUUCUCCAACAGAUUCAUACCCUCUAAAAAGAACAAGAAGAGAUACAGUAUAGACAGAGAGAUAAAAGCAGCAUUGAGAAAUAUUAUCCAUAAGAAGGAGCGGGCCAUGCAAAAUGGAGACUCAGGCGAUGCUGACUUGCUAGGCUUGCUUUUACAGGGCAGGGAUGAUGCUGAUAAUGACAUGAAAAUUGAAGAUGUAAUCGAGGAAUGCAAGUUGUUCUUCUUUGCAGGCCAAGAGACCACAGCAAACUUACUCACUUGGACAUUGAUAGUUCUAUCUAUGCAUCCAGUCUGGCAAGAGAAAGCAAGAGAAGAAGUUUUGCAGAUUUGUGGCAAGAGAACACCUGAUAUCGAUAGUAAAAACAACUCAGAAUUGUAAGUACUUCUUUUGUUCACGCAUUAAUUUACAUGUUUUGUAGCUACAGUCAACUCCUUGGAAACGAUUAUAAAUCCUUGGUUUAUGAAACUAAAUAAAUUUGCAGGUCUCAAUGAUCUUAAACGAGGUACUAAGACUAUAUCCACCUGUGAAUCUUCUGUAUCGACAUACUCUAAAGGAAACAAGCAUUCGAGGAAUGUCCAUUCCAGCUGGGUAGACCUCCUGUUACCAUUCCUGUUUCUUCACUAUGAUCCUGAGUAUUGGGGAGACAACGCAGAAGAAUUCAAACCAGAGAGAUUCUCUGAAGGAGUUUCGAAAGCAUCAAAGGAUGAAAUUGCAUUUUACCCUUUUGGUUGGGGCCCUAGAUUUUGUCUAGGCCAAAACUUUGCCUUGACUGAAGCAAAGAUGGCUCUUACUAUGAUUCUACAAAAUUUCUGGUUUGAGCUUUCACCCUCUUACACGCAUGCUCCUUGUAAUGUCAUAACUCUUCAACCACAACAUGGAGCUCCUAUUAUACUACACCAAUUAUAAGGUUUACAUAGUACUUUGGUGUCUUAGGAAGGGAAGCAACUCAGUUGAAUGAGUCACAGCAGGUUGUCCCAAUGUUUUGUUGUCAACCAGGAACAAGUUGGUGCAGUGGAGAGUGUUGUUUCUAUGCCAUAAUGUUUGCCAUCUGCUAUUGUAUUAAAGUUAUUAUUCCGUUUUCUUUCUUUUGGUUCUGAUGAAUGUUCAUAGUUUGUGCUUAUGAAA
Molecule: long non-coding RNA, 41092 nt
Filed under: Populus tremula
Lineage: Eukaryota; Viridiplantae; Streptophyta; Magnoliopsida; Malpighiales; Salicaceae
Description: long non-coding RNA (PTRE_LNC000585)
Source: RNAcentral